This 394-nucleotide ribosomal RNA is filed under the name Didynamipus sjostedti. RNAcentral describes it as "partial 12S ribosomal RNA". It matches the Rfam family "Bacterial small subunit ribosomal RNA", at positions 797 to 1403 of the family's 1533-position model. Lineage: Eukaryota; Metazoa; Chordata; Amphibia; Anura; Bufonidae. The record is from RNAcentral.
CAGCCGUAAACCUUUAUUUACACCAAAAUCGCCAGGGAACUACGAGCCAAGCUUAAAACCCAAAGGACUUGACGGUACCCCACAUCCAUCUAGAGGAGCCUGUCCCAUAAUCGAUAAUCCACGUUUAACCUUACCAUUCUUAGCCAAGUCAGCCUGUAUACCUCCGUCGUCAGCUCACCCCGUGAGCGAAAAUUAGUGAGCUUAAUGUUUUUACACAGCACGUCAGGUCAAGGUGCAGCAAAUAGAGUGGAGAGAGAUGAGCUACACUUUCUACAUUAGAAGAAACGAAAAACUACCUAUGAAACCUAGUUGGAAGGCGGAUUUAGCAGUAAAAAGGAAUCAAUAUGUCCAUUUUAACCCGGCACUGGGGUGCGUACACACCGCCCGUCACCCU